AUACAUCGGGACGAUCGGGGUCUCUCCCGGGGAGUCGGUCGUCUAAUCUCGCGUGAGUCGCACGUAUCUCAUACUCUGCUCCGUUUGAUCUCCCGUAGGAGAGAAGGACUCUCUCUCUCUCUUUCUCUCUCCUCUGCUACUUAGUCGCACACAACUUGCAUUAUCGUUUGAGAAAAACAUUUAAACUGCAGAAAAUAUCACUUGACGCAUCGAACGGGACACGGGCUAAAUGAUUUUGUUGUUACGUGCGUAGAUGACGAGAGAGGGGAAAUGAGAGACUUUUUUUGGACGGUCUGCGCACGGAUUAUCUGCGGAGAUUAAUAGGGUUCUCUACAAAUCGAAGAUCGUCGGAAGCUAGUUUUUUCGCACAGAGACGAGAAAGUAUCGAAAAACAGAGAUAGCGGGCGUGUCACCAAGAGGUCUGGAAGGUCGUAUACGUUUUUUCUCUAGCGGUGUUCGGGCAGGGCGUGGCUGGGCUCUUCUCUUCUCUUGGUCUAUUGACCGUAAAAGGAUGGGUUCUUGCGUUUCGAAUUUUUAAGAUUAUUUACAAUAACGCUCCGGUAUGUAGAUUCCGACAGCGUGGAUCAUCCGAUCGAGUGAAAAAAAAAAAAAAAAAAAAACAGAAAAAAAAUGGAAAAUUUUUCGCUUUCGAGGACACACACUCGAGCUCCUCGACGAUCGAAAAAAUGUUGUUGGAAUUUUGACCGUUUCUCGAACAGAAAGAGAGCGGGAGAAGAGGAAAAAGUAAAUGCGUAAUUCUUGCCACGUAUGCAUCUGGAAGAAUGAUCGCACGAAAUGGCGGACGACGCCGCGAUGUGGCGACCACUCUCGGGAGAGCGCGCCGCUCUCUCCUGCAAUCGCUCUCCGUUUUUUCCGCGUCCUCCGCACAAUCAUUAUUAUUAGUAGGAAAAAUCUACACAAUGCAAAGAUAUCUAUUUUGCGCGCGAGAGAUGUUUUACUGUGUGAUGAUCUUGUGUGUUUGUGCUUCUUCGGACCUCGUAGCGAUACAUGUCCGAAAGAAUUUCGCGCGACAACGAUUGCAAACGAUUUUUCAAAGUGAACCAGUGUCGCGUAGUUGCGAUAUAAAAUUUCGUGAUGACAAAAAGAAUCAUCGGUGUGCUGUAUGAAAAUCUUAGACGAUGCACAGACAUUUCUAGGAAAUUUUUUCGUGCAUUUCCGCAUAGUACGAGGAACGAAAAAAAAAAAUGUACUUUGUACUCUACUGUCUUUCAGUGCCGUUUCUCAAUAAAAAGAAAAUGAAAUUAAAAACAAAAAUCGUUAUCUAAUCGCAACAUUCGUCGACCCACAGUAACAAGUAUCAAAUUGGAGUCUUCUUCUUCAUUUCGUCGGUUGCUAAUAAAACUGCACACAAUCGAAGAUUUGUCAUUGUAUUUAGUCAUAAGAACGUAUUGUUUAUUUAUUUGUUUUUUUUUUAUUUUUAAAGAAAACGCACAGUCGUGCGUAUUUUCAUGAGAGUCCAAAGAAAAUUCCCAGGACUCGGGAACGUACUGAAACCACGACCGCGUUCUGCCUCUCGCUCGCGAGAGCCGUUGCUGGCUCUUCUCCCUUCCUACGCUCCGUAUCUCCAUUCCCCUCAUCCCUUCCCUCUCCUUUCCUCGUUUCACCCAUCCCCACGGCUUUUAAUAGAAAAAGAAAAAAAAGAGAAAAAAAAACAGGUACGCAUACAGACGUGUUUGUCGGCGUGCUCUGGUGGUAGUUUCACACACGACGAGAGCGCCCUUUUCCUCCACGUCGUAUGAGUGAAAGCGGGUGAAGGGGGAGAUUAGCGGAGCGGAGAGCGCAUAGUGGGGGAAAGGAAGAAUAGAAAGAGAGAGAGAGAGAGAGAGAGAAGAGGGUAAUGGCGGAGAGGAAAGCCAUCGAGUGCCACGGUGGCUGGCUGGCUUGGCUGGCUGCCUAGCGAGCGAGCCGUGAAUCGUAUCCCUUCCCUCUUCGAAAUUGCUCCCACCGGUCCUCCUGCCUUCUCUUUCCCCGCUUCCAUUGCUCAUCGAGGAAUUUUACUCGGGCAGACUCGCUCCCAGGCUUUGGAUCUUCCCCUCCCCCUUCCCCUCCCACCGGUGUUCUGGUCGACGUACGACGGGUUCUGCUUUAUGUGGCGGCAUUAACAUGGGUCUCCAUAAACCGAGGGAGUCUCUAGGUCAGCACCGUGUUCUCUUACAUUGCAAGAACGCCCUAGCGCAGCCUCGCUCAUCUGCUGUCCGGGGCUUGAUAAUACCAACGACUGUAACCGUUCGAGACGUCCGAGGGCCUGCUGCCAUAACGUUUCCGUCCAUCCCGCGUAGCGCAGGAGCGAACAAUACAACGUGAUCCAGGUGCAAGAAUAAGGGAAGGAUGAGAGAGACGAAGGGGAGGCCCGCAGACUUACGUACAUUGAGCAACAGUGCAUCUGAAAUGAAUUUGGAACGCUUUUCGGCGGGAAAAACGAUAAUACAUAUCUCUUCGAGAUAACGAUGGAUUCGGCGUUGCGCAAGAUUAUGACAUACCUGCUGUAAUAAUCUUACAUAUUCGAGCACAUCAGCACGACAGUACGAAGAAGAAAAAUAAACGCGCACCAGAAUUUUUUUGUAAAUACACGUUUGCAUGAGAAGUCGUGGAAUAUACGGAAAUAUAUGUCUUACAAUGCAGUUGAAAAAUCUAUUCAUCAAAUUCUGGUUCAUAUUCAAACCCUAACGAGAGGAGGUCGUACAGGCUUCGAGGUCGAAGGCAAAGUCACGUUAGGCGACUCUGUGUCGACCAUGUGUUUGUUGUGUCGUCGUGCUGAGAUGCCGUUAUUUUAAUGUAGAUAAGCUAAGACCGGACUAAGAAUGAAAGGCCGUAGGAGACACUCGUGUCGCAGUGCAUAUAUCCUUGCGCACCAAGGCAACAUCGAGUAGUCUCUUGCAUCCAGCAGAUUUUCACAACACAAGAGCAACUGGAUUUUUUCCCUCAAUAAAUCCCACGAUAAUAUAUACAUGAAUAGCCGCUCAUUAUUAUCUCGAAAAGAUGGAUCAUGAAUCUUAAACGCUUUUCUCAUAAUGACGUAUGAAACGUACUUCGUAAAGCCGAGCAAAUACGAGAACGUUCAGCGUCAUUAGGAAAAAAAGUGCCCCCACGUGUGCGUUAUUCA
Pseudomyrmex gracilis is the source of this 3124-nucleotide long non-coding RNA. RefSeq lists it as uncharacterized. The transcript is spliced from 3 exons. The record is from RefSeq and is a predicted model, not a curated record. NCBI's taxonomy places the organism in Eukaryota, Metazoa, Arthropoda, Insecta, Hymenoptera, Formicidae.